Sinocyclocheilus rhinocerous is the source of this 85-nucleotide long non-coding RNA. RefSeq lists it as uncharacterized. The transcript has 2 exons. Lineage: Eukaryota; Metazoa; Chordata; Actinopteri; Cypriniformes; Cyprinidae. The record is from RefSeq and is a predicted model, not a curated record.
CUGAUGAAGGAAUGCUGCCAUCAAAGGCUUUGAAGCUUUUGUGGUGGAGCAGGACCUGCUAGGAAAGGUGACGGCGGCAUUUGUG